CAUCGCGAGGUGGAAUCUGAAGGAAGCUGGAUUGCGGAGGCAGGGGGGAAGCAGGACAGAACUCCGGUCCGAUGAACAGAGACCAUGUAAGGCUGUAAGCGGGGGAAGGGCUGCCAUACAGACAAAAGCCCAAUGGCUGCACGGAAUCGCCCGCAGGAGAUAUGGCAGGUAUAAGGGAAAGAAC
RNAcentral lists this non-coding RNA (184 nucleotides) under bovine gut metagenome. The record is from RNAcentral.